UGACAGAAUCUGCUUACAAG
RNAcentral lists this non-coding RNA (20 nucleotides) under Mus musculus (house mouse). Lineage: Eukaryota; Metazoa; Chordata; Mammalia; Rodentia; Muridae. The record is from RNAcentral. RNAcentral also lists the same sequence under 1 other name.